CUUGUUUCAAAUGGAAAGAAUCGCCAACUUGGUAGAUGGACAAAGAGAUACAGGCCAAUUAUGGAUGACAAGCACAAGAGUUGGAAGAGCCAAUUCAUCAUAACGUACCCAGACAGAAGCAUGUUGUUCUUGAGCGGUUCUACCCAGCAGCUCUCAGACAGAUUCAGACACCCACCAGUAGAUGGAGCUUGGGGACUCUUACAGAAGAAUCGAGCAGACCGAGGGCAAAAGGGAUAGGAACUCCAAAGGAAGACCAACAAAGUUAACUUAACCUGAACCACUGGAGCUCUCAGAGUCUGAGUCACCAACCAAAGAACAUACAUAGCUGGACCGUGGCCUCCUGCCCGUAUGUAGCAAAUGUGCAGCUUGACCUUAUCCCAAAAGCUAUUGCCUUACA
Arvicanthis niloticus (Nile rat) is the source of this 397-nucleotide long non-coding RNA. RefSeq lists it as uncharacterized. Lineage: Eukaryota; Metazoa; Chordata; Mammalia; Rodentia; Muridae. The record is from RefSeq and is a predicted model, not a curated record.